CCUACGGGUGGCAGCAGUGAGGAAUAUUGGUCAAUGGACGAGAGUCUGAACCAGCCAAGUAGCGUGAAGGAUGACUGCCCUAUGGGUUGUAAACUUCUUUUAUAAAGGAAUAAAACGAGGCACGUGUGCCUUUUUGCAUGUACUUUAUGAAUAAGGAUCGGCUAACUCCGUGCCAGCAGCCGCGGUAAUACGGAGGAUCCGAGCGUUAUCCUGAUUUAUUGGGUUUAAAGGGAGCGUAGAUGGGUUGUUAAGUUAGUUGUGAAAGUUUGCGGCUCAACCGGAAAAUUGCAAUUGAUACUGGAAGUCUUGAGUACAGUUGAGGUAGGCGGAAUUCGUGGUGUAGCGGUGAAAUGCUUAGAUAUCACGAAGAACCCCGAUUGCGAAGGCAGCUUACUAAACUGUGACUGACAUUGAUGCUCGAAAGUGUGGGUAUCAAACAGGAUUAGAUACCCUGGUAGUC
Molecule: ribosomal RNA, 460 nt
Filed under: uncultured bacterium
Lineage: Bacteria
Description: partial 16S ribosomal RNA
Rfam family: Bacterial small subunit ribosomal RNA
Source: RNAcentral